This 200-nucleotide long non-coding RNA is filed under the name Mustela putorius furo (domestic ferret). RNAcentral describes it as "lncRNA (ENSMPUG00000028322.1)". The record is from RNAcentral. Lineage: Eukaryota; Metazoa; Chordata; Mammalia; Carnivora; Mustelidae.
CCACCUCAUUCCCUCUUUCCCAGUACCCUAAGGAGCAGCAUGUUGAAUAAGCAAGAGGCUAAGAGAACGGUUGGACCAAUGCCAGAUCCUUUGCCUUCUCUCCUGGCUCAGUGAAACAAGGGGUCACAGCUGGGGCAAUUUCUGCUUUGCAAUUCUCUUGCCAUCUUUCUGCCACAAGACAAUUCUCAGCUUGUCUCCUG